This 73-nucleotide transfer RNA is filed under the name Camelus bactrianus (Bactrian camel). It matches the Rfam family "tRNA". From Rfam's summary of the family: Transfer RNA (tRNA) molecules are approximately 80 nucleotides in length. Their secondary structure includes four short double-helical elements and three loops (D, anti-codon, and T loops). Further hydrogen bonds mediate the characteristic L-shaped molecular structure. tRNAs have two regions of fundamental functional importance: the anti-codon, which is responsible for specific mRNA codon recognition, and the 3' end, to which the tRNAs corresponding amino acid is attached (by aminoacyl-tRNA synthetases). tRNAs cope with the degeneracy of the genetic code in two manners: having more than one tRNA (with a specific anti-codon) for a particular amino acid; and 'wobble' base-pairing, i.e. permitting non-standard base-pairing at the 3rd anti-codon position. RNAcentral also lists the same sequence under 2 other names. Lineage: Eukaryota; Metazoa; Chordata; Mammalia; Artiodactyla; Camelidae. The record is from Rfam by way of RNAcentral.
GAGGGUAUAGCUCAAGUAGUGGAGUGCAUGCUUAGCAUGCAGGAGGUCCUGGGUUCAAUCCCCAGUACCUACU